GCCGGGGUGCCCGAGCGGACCAAGGGGGUGGGCUCGAGAGACCCACUGCCCCCUCCAGGGGCACGCGGGUUCGAAUCCCGCCCCCGGCG
Molecule: transfer RNA, 89 nt
Filed under: Desulfurococcus mucosus DSM 2162
Lineage: Archaea; Thermoproteati; Thermoproteota; Thermoprotei; Desulfurococcales; Desulfurococcaceae
Description: tRNA-Ser
Rfam family: tRNA
About the family: Transfer RNA (tRNA) molecules are approximately 80 nucleotides in length. Their secondary structure includes four short double-helical elements and three loops (D, anti-codon, and T loops).
Source: RNAcentral